GCUCAAAUUUGAAAUCUUAAAGGGUUUCCCUUUACGAAUUGUAGUUUAAAGAAGUGUUUUCUGUUGAGGUUUUGGUAAAAGUUCUUUGGAAUAGGACAUCAUAGAGGGUGAGAAUCCCGUAUUUGACCUUUACUUUCAACUUUGUGAUACACUUUCAAAGAGUCGGAUUGUUUGGGAAUGCAGUCCAAAAUGGGUGGUAAAUUUCACCUAAAGCUAAAUAUUGGCGAGAGACCGAUAGCGAACAAGUACCGUGAGGGAAAGAUGAAAAGAACUUUGAAAAGAGAGUUAAACAGUACGUGAAAUUGUCAAAAGGGAAGCGUUUGACACCAGUGUUGUUUUUCUGAAAAUCAAUUAAAGGACUGUUUAUGCUAAGUUGUUUAGACUUUAUCAGCUAACUGUUUAGUUUUGAGCUUUUCUUUAAUGCACUUUUCAGUUAACAAG
RNAcentral lists this ribosomal RNA (441 nucleotides) under uncultured Neocallimastigomycetes. RNAcentral's name for it is "LSU rRNA". It matches the Rfam family "Eukaryotic large subunit ribosomal RNA", at positions 107 to 542 of the family's 3401-position model. Lineage: Eukaryota; Fungi; Neocallimastigomycota; Neocallimastigomycetes. The record is from RNAcentral.